This is a long non-coding RNA of Anguilla rostrata (American eel), 2549 nucleotides long. RefSeq lists it as uncharacterized. NCBI's taxonomy places the organism in Eukaryota, Metazoa, Chordata, Actinopteri, Anguilliformes, Anguillidae. The record is from RefSeq and is a predicted model, not a curated record. The transcript has 2 exons.
ACACUGUCAUUAGCUACACACUGCUGUGAGAACACUGUGUCAUUAGCUACACACUACAGUGAGAACACUGUCAUUAGCUACACACUGCAGUGAGAACACUGUCAUUAGCUACGCACUGCUGUGAGAACACUGUGUCAUUAACUACACACUGCAGUGAGAACACUGUGUCAUUAGCUACGCACUGCUGUGAGAACACUGUGUCAUUAACUACACACUGCAGUGAGAACACUGUGUCAUUAGCUACACACUGCUGUGAGAACACUGUGUCAUUAGCUACACACUGCGGUGAGAACACUGUCAUUAUCUACACACUGGGUUACCAUGUUUUGUGUUUGUAUGUGUCAUAUCAAUAAAAUAACAGAAUUACGGCUACUUUGAACCAACUUGAAUAGUUUGUUGCUUAACUCAAAUAAUGUUAAACAAAAAAUAUGACUACAAAUUGAUACAUUUAUGCUAUAUUUAAUUUAUAAAUGUGUAUUUUCCAAUUCAAACACAUUAUAAAUCAAAUAUUGCAUUAAUGUAUCAUUGAGUGGCCAUACAAUCGAAUAGCCAAGUACUUUUCUUCGUAUAUGGGAAGAUACGUUUUUGUUGUACUGCUGUAUCAACAGCAAGCUCGUGUGACAGACAAUGGUAAGUUACAGAGCACCACAUUAAUGUUAUUAUCCCCUACAGAUAGGAUUAAUAUGUGUUUAUGAUUUUAAGAUGAAUAUUAACACGUAAUUUAGCCUAUUUUUAAAAUGUUUCAUUUCCGCUAUUUUCAUGAGGGACUCGUGGUGGAUCCCCUUUAUAUACAGAAUUCAUCAGAGAGAAAUGUUCUUUCUCUCAACAUGCAAGUUACUUUUCCAUUAAGGUGUUCUCCACUUGCCUCUGAUUGGUUCAGAUGAAUCACAUGGGGUAUCCGGGCAGUGCAGGUCACAUUUUAUUGCCAUGUUGGAUUUUCUAUUGUUUUCUUUUCAAAUCUCUGCUUUGGUGAAACUAGAUGCUACACACUGCUCUUUUGUUGGAGGAAUGAUGUCAUAAUCGCAAUAAUGCAGGCUGCCGGUCACAUUGGGCAAAAGUUAAAUGAUGUUCAUCUGAGUAUUUCACUUGUUACAUUAUAUUUUAGAUUUGAUUAAAUUUAUCACAAUAAUGGAUUGUUCCAUUAUGCUCUGGCCCUAUGCUUGUUGCCAAGAGCUUAUCAUUCAGAUUCAUAUUUGACACAUAAUUGUUCAGCAUGAAUACAGUUUUUCAAAGCUGCAUUCACUAUCUCACUCUGUCCUCACUGCACAGUUCCUGUAUCAAAACCCCAUGUCAGUGUCACUCGUGAUGAAUUCCCCUGCACUCUACUGUGUGCUGUGGAGAGAGGGACUGGAGCACCCCUGUCCUGGUACAGAGAACGGUGAGGACAAGUCCUAUGGUAGCUACCCUGUAUGCUGUGCCCCACAUCUGGAUAUGACUCAGACUGUGGAGAGGAGCGGUGCAUACACCUGAGAAACGAAGAACUCAGUCAGCAGAGAGACAUCAGACCCUCUCUCUGUGGGGGCCCACUGCACAGUUGGAGCUGCGGGUAUCUGGCAGACCGAGGGUCUAAAAUGUGGAGCCUGUGCUUGGUGCUGAUCGUGAUGCUGUGCAGUCGCCUGGUUUGAGGCUGCUGAGUGAGAAUUAACUUUGACCUCUGGAUGAGUGGGUGGGUAUGAGAGUCCCAUGUUCAUUGUAUCCUGCUGCAGCCCCAACAGCUACCCUGCCCCAUAAAGACAUGCAGCAUAACUGCCCCAGUAUAACUGCCCCAUGAAGACAUGCAGCAUAACUGCCCCAUAAAGACAUGCAGCAUAACUGCCCCAUGAAGACAUGCAGCAUAACUGCCCCAUAAAGUCAUGCAGCAUAACUGCCCCAUACAGACAUGCAGCAUAACUGCCCCAUAAAGACAUGCAGCAUAACUGCCUCAUAAAGACAUGCAGCAUAACUGCCCCAUGAAGACAUGCAGUAUAACUGCCCCAUAAAGACAUGCAGCAUAACUGCCCCAUAAAGACAUGCAGUAUAACUGCCCCAUAAAGACAUGCAGCAUAACUGCCCCAUAUAGACAUGCAGCAUAACUGCCCCAUAUAGACAUGCAGUAUAACUGCCCCAUAAAGACAUGCAGCAUAACUGCCCCAUAAAGACAUGCAGUAUAACUGCCCCAUGAAGACAUGCAGCAUAACUGCCCCAUGAAGACAUGCAGCAUAACUGCCCCAUAAAGACAUGCAGUAUAACUGCCCCAUAAAGACAUGUUCUCUCUGUCCCAGUCAUCCUCUGUCUCAGGCUGUUCUCCCAGUCCCAGUCAUGAACUGAAACUAAUUGUUAAUAGUUUUUAAUCAUGCAGCUUUAAUGUCUUCCCCGCUUUAUCUAAUUGCUGUGCAUACCAUGAAGAAUAAAUGUUACACAAUAAUGUCUCAAUAUGUUUAAUCUGUCAGAUGAACUAAUGCUUUUAUUUACUGUGAUUUAUGGAAAAUGGUAACUUAAGAAAGAGGCUCCAUUUAUAAUAGAUGAAUUUACAGUGAUAGGUGUGAAGUUUAAAUCCACACCAAAACAAA